GUUAUAGGAGUAGGAUGUUAUAGCAGUAUGAUGUUAUAGGAGUAGGAUGUUAUAGGACCAGGUGUUAUAGGAGUAGGAUGUUAUAGGAGAAGGAUGUUAUAGGGCCAUGUGUUAUAGGAGUAAUAUGUUAUUGGGCCAGGUAUUUUAGGAAUAGAAAGUUAUAGGGCCAGGUGUUAUAGGGCCAGGUGUUAAAUGAGUAGGAUUUUAUAGGGCCAGGUGUUAUAGGAGUAGGACGUUAUAGGGCCAGGUGUUAUAGGGCCAGGUGUUAUAGGAGUAGGAUGUUAUAGGAGAAGGAUGUUCUAGGAGAAGGAUGUUCUAGGGCCAGAUGUUAUAGGAGUAGGAUGUUAUAGGGCCAGGUGUUAUAGGAGUAAGAUGUUAUAGGCCAGGUGUUAUAGGGCCAUGUGUUAUAGGAGUAGGAUGUUAUAGGGCCAGGUGAUAUAGGAGUAGGAUGCUAUAGGGCCAGGUGUUAUAGGAGUAGGAUGCUAUAGGGCCAGGUGUUAUAGGGCCAGGUGUUAUAGGAGUAGGAUGUUAUAGGGCCAGGUGUUAUUGGAGUAGGAUGUUAUAGGAGUAGGAUGUUAUCUGAGUAGUAUAUUAUAGGGCCAGGUGUUAUAUGAGUGAGAUGUUAUAGGGCCAGGUGUUAUAGGGCCAGGUGUUAUAGGAGUAGGAUGUUAUAGGGCCAUGUUUAAUAGCAGUAGGAUGUUAUAGGGCCAG
RNAcentral lists this long non-coding RNA (711 nucleotides) under Salmo salar (Atlantic salmon). RNAcentral describes it as "lncRNA (ENSSSAG00000098440.1)". The record is from RNAcentral. Lineage: Eukaryota; Metazoa; Chordata; Actinopteri; Salmoniformes; Salmonidae.